Molecule: non-coding RNA, 1053 nt
Organism: Cyanistes caeruleus (blue tit)
Lineage: Eukaryota; Metazoa; Chordata; Aves; Passeriformes; Paridae
Source: RefSeq, a predicted model, not a curated record
AAUAAGAUUGCUCUCUGCAGACUUAUUUUUCCGAUUCCCUCUCAGCGCUGUUUCUACAAAGGCUUGUGCUGAUGCCACUGGAACUUUCAUAGCCAGCCUGCUUUUCCCCAUCCAAAGUGCAAGCAAGGCUGAAAAUGGAGAGCUAUUAAAAGCCCAAAAGUUCCAAAUCCAGGUGGAGAGUGGUGUGUCAGCUGCUGGGGAGGAAGGACGUUUGAGCCCAAAAGGAGAAGAGUGCAUGGACUGGAACAAACUUCUCUGGCUUCAGGAAAACACACAGGAAGGAAAGAAACCAACCUGGCUCAGCAGUAAAACCCAGGAAAUUACAGAUUUUUGGGCUGGCAAUGCUGAGGAAUGCACAGCAGGUUGUGUAAAACUGUUGAAAAUCAGCUUGUCCUGCAGAACAGGUUUUCCAUAGGAUUUGAACAAAGCAGAUGGAUGUGGUCAGUGGGAGCUGUGAGGGUGGAAGAUGAAGCACGGAGAAUCAGGAAAGCCACUGGAAUCUUUCUCAGCUUUCAUAUUUAUUUCCUGAAAUACCUGUCCCCGGUGUGUGUCCUACACUGCUCUCAGGGGGAUGGGUUGGGUGGCCUUGGAAAGCAGAACGAUCCUAAUCGUUCCUAAUUUCAUCCCACAUCUUGGUCCUGAGGACUUCUGUGGAAGUCUUUUAGGAAAUGUGGAGCUCAAAUGUGGUCAUUUGGUGAUGGUCAGACCUUACAGUGGACAGGGGUGACCUUAUGGACUUUGUGCUUCUCCCAAGGCAAGAACUCUCCAUCCGUUCAAGUCAAACUUGCUCAGGAUAGAAAAAUCUCUCUGAGAUUUGUCUAUAAAAAACUGAGCAAUCAAUUCAUUCAAUCACAUCAUAGAAAAUAAGAAGUUUCUGGUAGUAUGAGAACACUUUGAUUAGCUGUAAAAUCAGCAAAGAAAAACAACUACCUUAAUAGUCACAAAAUCUAUGGAGGUUUAUUUUUGCUGUGAGCACUUCAAUUUUCUGCAAAAGCCACAAGCAAACAAGACUUUUGAACCAUUUCAAUCCACUCUAAGUCAGAAAGCUCAGUC